Molecule: unclassified non-coding RNA, 623 nt
Filed under: Hevea brasiliensis (rubber tree)
Lineage: Eukaryota; Viridiplantae; Streptophyta; Magnoliopsida; Malpighiales; Euphorbiaceae
Source: RNAcentral
GAUAUUGUUAACUUGGUGAGAGGAGAAAUGGAUUUAGCAGAUUCAGAUGACAGCAGCAUUGAAUAAUACAUCUCUUUAUGACAAUAAAAAUAUGCCUAUCCUUUAUGAUGUAAACCCAUUGAUUAAGGGCUAAUCAAAUUACAAAUAAUAACAUAAGUUAUGUUUACUUGCUUAAAAGAUCUGGAAAUAUGCAUCUCCCAUGUAUUAAAAGGCCAUUCCAAUUUGACCUUAACUGACUGUUUAAGUUGCUUGACUAUUGAUAGAUCACUCCUCUCAGCAUAUGUUCCUUUUGUGCUUUGCCUUUAAUAGUGGGGUGUUAAUAUUACAGUCCUUUUUUCCUGGGAGAUUCCUAUAGUGCAGUUAUUCUUUUUUAAAAGAUGUAGUCAUAUAUGAAAUAAACUGCAUCCCUUAAAGUUUCUUAUAGUUCUGCUAAAAUGGGCAUUGAAUUUUAGUACAACAGUCAGGUUGCUCCUCUGGUCACAUGUUGGAGUUGUGGAAACAGCCUUUUUGCACAAAAUUAGAGGAGAAGACAACCCUGCCCUAACCCUUGCAAAGCAAGGAGCUUUGUUCAUUGGGGAUCCCUUUUUCAGAAUGAUAUAUUCACAAAAGAAAAAAUUGCAGUG